RNAcentral lists this unclassified non-coding RNA (267 nucleotides) under Hevea brasiliensis (rubber tree). The record is from RNAcentral. Lineage: Eukaryota; Viridiplantae; Streptophyta; Magnoliopsida; Malpighiales; Euphorbiaceae.
ACCAAAACUAAUUCAAUCACCUCACCACUCUCGUUAAAUUACUCAAUUCUCUUCUCUCUCUCUUCCCACGCCCACCCUUUCUUCCAAUUUCAUUGUGCUGCUCAGGCCCAGCCUCCUUUUUGGUUCGCUCUCGAGCAGAUCCAUCUCCUAUUCGUAUAUCCCUCAAAAGUUGUCUUUUCCUUGAUACCAAUCGCACCCAGUUUAUAUCUCACGUUUUCGAAGAAAAGGGAAUAGAAAACAGAUGGGUGGUGAAGGGAAAGUUUUCAC